This 380-nucleotide long non-coding RNA is filed under the name Mytilus galloprovincialis (Mediterranean mussel). Lineage: Eukaryota; Metazoa; Mollusca; Bivalvia; Mytilida; Mytilidae. The record is from RNAcentral.
UGGAUUACUUGACUUAGAACAAAAUGUCGACAGCUUACUGUACUGGCAUAAUGUUUUGGUCAUCGUACAGCACGCAUAUGCGCAGUUGGAAAAUACACAAAAGAACAGUUUCUUACAAACAAUAUAUAUGUCCGCUUAAAAUAAUGUAGACUGGAAAUGCUUUUCAGAAUUGUUGCUUGGUCUAUUGGACGAGAGAGUAGUUCUCCAUCGCAUCGUAGAUGUCCAUUUUUGCUGCUGUCAAUAUUCAUAUGUUUUAUAUAUGCAAAUGAACGUUCCAUAGAACUUUUUUGGUGGGUUUCUACUUUAGGUUUUUAUCAAUUUACGAUGUAUUCCAGUAUGCUCGACGUAUGUCAUUUUGGAUCAUUUAUCUGAUAUCUUUG